This 1462-nucleotide unclassified non-coding RNA is filed under the name Hevea brasiliensis (rubber tree). The record is from RNAcentral. Lineage: Eukaryota; Viridiplantae; Streptophyta; Magnoliopsida; Malpighiales; Euphorbiaceae.
GCCAAGUAUCAUGAAUGGCUCUUUGCCUAAUAUUAUGGAAGAUCCGGUGCCUUUGUAUAACCCUCGUGAAGUUGGCUUGUGAAGCCAUGUAUGCCGCAGCAGUCGGAAGCUAGAAAUUAAAAAAAAAAAAGGAUUGCUAUACUAUUCUUGUUGCAGAUACUUCAGCAGCUAAGAAGUGCUCGGCCUUCCAGAGCUGAUUAGCAGAUAAAACACACCAGCGCCCCAUUCUUAUGUUACAAGUUUGCAAAUCAGCAUCUGACUAAUCUUGCAGCCGCAAAUUAAACAUGAAGCUCAUUGAACAUGUCACUACUACUAUUACAUACACCAUUUGCACUUUCAUCUCCUUUGAAAUCCAUUACACCAGUUCCGAAGUUUUCAGUGACUCUCACCUUACCGCGAGCACGUCGUGAAGGCCUCGACAUUGAGUUGUCCAGUGAAAAAUCAUCCCGACUCCUCCGAUUCUGCUUUAUGCUCAAAAAUCCACAAGCAAGAGCUUCCAGUGCUUUAGUGGUCAGUGGUCGGUUUCAAGACAGCAUGAUAAAGAGAAUUGAAGCCAGGUGGUUGCUCAGAAGUAGAACCACAUACUGAAGCGGAAGUUUUCAGCAUACCGAAAUCCUGUGUCUGUCCAGUCUCUCUUUAUCAUGCUGUCUUUCUAUCAUUUCCAUCAUUAACGCUUCAGUCUCAGCAUCUUCAGGGAUGGGUAUGUUCAGGUCAAUCAAUGUCCGAGACUGAGAUUUCUCAUUAGGAUGUUCAGCAACAGAUAAGUUGCUACUCAGAUUGCAUUCAUCUGUAAUAUUAGGGCUGCCCCUGGAUGAAGAACUGGUGGAUGACAACUUUGCCUGAUGUGAAUCCAGAUAAGAAAGAGUAUUCUCUUGCAAAUCAUGAUUUCCUGAUGUAAAACCAACUUCAUCUUGUUCUAACCUGGGAUCUACUGAGACAUUGACAGUACAACAGCUUGUCACUGCGUGAUCACACACAGUUAAUCUUCGCCGUCUUUUUGCAACAGGGCCUAAAAGAUUCCUAUUGGCAGGUUUCGUUCUCUUUAUUGCUUGACCUUUGAUAUGCUUACUUGGAUGCAUAUCAUCAUACUUGCUAGCAUUCUGAUCCUUUGGGAUUUUGACCGGAACCUGGGUGAAACCUGAGCCAAUUACAGGGGAACAUUGCCUCAAAGCAAUAUUUUCAAAAUUUUCCCUGCCAGACGAGUCUCCCACGUCAACAUUGACCUUUGUGGAUUUUGAAAUAUCAGUCUUGCUGUGAUCAAAACACAAGUUAUCAGAAGAAUCAGAUUCAUUUAUUGAAUCCUCAGUAGAAUCUUCAUCACUUUCUUCAGAAUCACUUCUGGUGGUGGAAAUGUUCAUCAUUUCAACUGGUAAGCUUCUCAGUUCUCUCACCGUGGAUGUUUCCCCAUUAGCCAGACUAGUAUCAACAACAGUAAACUUCAUGACUUCUGCCCUGUGGCUAG